This is a long non-coding RNA of Onychostruthus taczanowskii (white-rumped snowfinch), 1403 nucleotides long. RefSeq lists it as uncharacterized. NCBI's taxonomy places the organism in Eukaryota, Metazoa, Chordata, Aves, Passeriformes, Passeridae. The transcript is spliced from 2 exons. The record is from RefSeq and is a predicted model, not a curated record.
GGUAAACAAGCGCACAGCUUUGGAUCUGAGGUAAAGAUACAAAAUGCAGCUCCUCAAGAGGAAAGGGAGAACCCUCCCAUUCAUCCACCUUCUCUGUCCCUCUAGACCAGCCAGUGCUACCAACCAAGGCAAAGGUGGUAACUGUUCUUCACAAAAACCUUUUGAAAUAAAAUAUUCUGUCUGGAGGAUACUUCUUCAUGCCCUCUGAAAAGCAGAGUGGGAUGAGAGGGAGGGGGCCAGCAUGGAAGUGUGAGAAGUGCUGACCCUGCAGAAUGAGAGGAAUGUAAAGAAGGAAGGGAAGCAAUUAAAAAGUAGUUGAAAAUGGAAGGCCUGUGGGAAAAUUAGAGUGAGACAUUGUGGGGAUUGGUUGAAAUUACAGAGAUGAAUUCAAGGCAUGGGGCAAAUUGCAGAAGAAACAGGAUUUCUUGCAGUCUUUCUGAGGGAAGGACACAGUGGAGACCUGUUGGAGUGCUACACCCACGCCACGGGCUGUGCUGCCGUGCUCAGCCUGCACCAGGACUGUCUGCAGGUCCUGCCACACCACUGAGCACUCAGUGUGCUGCAAUUCAGGAACCCGUGGUUUUUCCCCAGCCUAGCAUGACAGAAAUAUUAUUUUUAAUACUGUAUAAGGCAAAAGGAGACAUUACGGAGUGGGAGGGAAGGCUGGAAGGAGUCACUGCUCUCCGCUUGGAGAGAUUUGUUUUGCACUGUCUUUUCUGUCUUGAUUUAAUAGCGAGUUGGCUCUUUCCAGCAACUAGGCAGGGGAGGAGGGACGGGAAUAUGUUCCCAGUCUUUGGCCAAGAGUGUCCCAGGGCGUCCCGGGCGUGACCUCUUCAAUGUUUGUUUUUCUUUCCCUACAACUGACCCAGAUGCUGGGAUUUGAGACUUGGGCCCUCCUGGCCUGUUGAACAUUUGCCCCCUCUGGUACAGCAUGUGACAGUCUCAUGAACCAGGCUGGGAACAGUACCUGGAACUGUUUUUCUCUCCAGCAGACUGUUUUGUCCGGUUGCGUUCCAGGAACCCAAACCCGUGCGGAAAAUGCCGGGAGCGCAGUGCCACCCAGUGGGGAUGGAGGCACGGACGGAGCCCGGCCAGGAAAAGGCCUUCCAGGCACAACAGUCACCCGACACGCAACAAAGGAAAGGGAAACUACGGUUUGGCCUGUUUUAUUUAGAAAACAGCCGCAGUGAAUGUUCCGUGGAAACAAUUUAGCGUUCAUUUACAUUUGCAGCUUGUGCAGUCUUUCUUGGGAAUGACAGCAAGGUUUGCAAACUGAGAUGGAUUUGUUUUGGUCAUGCAGAACUCAAAAACCAACAAAGUAUCUUCAAACAAACAAACAAACAAACUGGUUCAAACUUAAUCUAAUGUGCCAAACACUGGGAGAAAAAAGCACAGCUUUGGAA